AUGCAUGCACUCACACUCACACUCACACACAUAGGCAUGCAUGCAUGCACUCACACUCACAGGCACGCAUAUGCUCACACACUCACAGGCACACAUGCAGUCACACAGGCACGCAUGCACUCACACACACAGGCAUGCAGGCACUCACAUUCAGGCACACAUGCACUCACACUCACACAGGCAUGCAGGCACUCACACUCACAGGCACACAUGCACUCACACACUCACAGGCAUGCAUGCAUUCACUCUUACAAGCACACAUGCACUCACAUUCACACUCAGAGACAUGCAUGCACUCACAGGCAUGCACGCACUCACACUCACAGGCAUGCAUGCACUCAUACUCACACAUUUACAGGCAUGCAUGCACUCACAUACAGGCACACAUACACUCACAGGCAUGCAUGCACUCACAUUCACACACUGACACAGGCACGCAUGCACUCACAUUCACACACUCACAGGCAUGCAUGCACUCACACACACAGGCAUGCACUCACACUCAUACAUACACUCACACAUUCACAUGCAUGCACUCAUACUGACACACACAGAUACACAUGCACUCACACUCACACACUCCUCCUUCUCUCUCCCUUUGUUUCCACGUAUCCCUCUCCCAUUUUCUCAUGCACAUACACACUAACACACGCAGUGCACAGGCACAUGUGUGGGAAUACAUGCAGGCACUCAGGCAGGGACACAAACUCACAUGUGCAUGCAAACACACACACACGUGCAUGCACCCACACACAAGCACACCUGUUUGCACAGCCUCCUGCAGGCUCAGAGUGGGCUGGAAGGAACCAUCAGAGGACUGCACCUACAGACGACCCUAGGGCCUAUUUCAUUUUUGGGGGGAAGGAUGGAGGAGUUGCCCCGCCCCAUGUGGGACCAGGUGUCAGCAGGCAGCCCUGGACCAGUGCCCGGGAGCUCAGCCAUUCUGGGCCCCCCAGUGCUGGGGCCCGAGCUUGCUCUUCCCCAGAGGCUGCUGCUCUCCGGCAUGAAGCCCCCAGGUGCUCACAUGCAUCGCCCUCCUGUCUCAGACAGUCCAGGAGAGGGAAUGACACCUGCCAGCUCAGCCUCCUCUAG
RNAcentral lists this long non-coding RNA (1092 nucleotides) under Papio anubis (olive baboon). Its description in RNAcentral is "lncRNA (ENSPANG00000041400.1)". The record is from RNAcentral. Lineage: Eukaryota; Metazoa; Chordata; Mammalia; Primates; Cercopithecidae.